This 464-nucleotide ribosomal RNA is filed under the name uncultured bacterium. RNAcentral describes it as "partial 16S ribosomal RNA". It matches the Rfam family "Bacterial small subunit ribosomal RNA", at positions 339 to 795 of the family's 1533-position model. The record is from RNAcentral.
CUACGGGGUGCUCCAGUGGGGAAUAUUGCACAAUGGGCGCAAGCCUGAUGCAGCCAUGCCGCGUGUAUGAAGAAGGCCUUCGGGUUGUAAAGUACUUUCAGCGGGGAGGAAGGGAGUAAAGUUAAUACCUUUGCUCAUUGACGUUACCCGCAGAAGAAGCACCGGCUAACUCCGUGCCAGCAGCCGCGGUAAUACGGAGGGUGCAAGCGUUAAUCGGAAUUACGGGGCGUAAAGCGCACGCAGGCGGUUUGUUAAGUCAGAUGUGAAAUCCCCGGGCUCAACCGGGGAACUGCAUCUGAUACUGGCAAGCUUGAGUCUCGUAGAGGGGGGUAGAAUUCCAGGUGUAGCGGUGAAAUGCGUAGAGAUCUGGAGGAAUACCGGUGGCGAAGGCGGCCCCCUGGACGAAGACUGACGCUCAGGUGCGAAAGCGUGGGGAGCAAACAGGAUUAGAUACCCCGGUAGUC